This 1346-nucleotide ribosomal RNA is filed under the name uncultured bacterium. RNAcentral's name for it is "partial 16S ribosomal RNA". It matches the Rfam family "Bacterial small subunit ribosomal RNA", at positions 28 to 1381 of the family's 1533-position model. The record is from RNAcentral.
GACGAACGCUGGCGGCGUGCUUAACACAUGCAAGUCGAACGGAAAGGCCCUGCUUUUGUGGGGUGCUCGAGUGGCGAACGGGUGAGUAACACGUGAGUAACCUGCCCUUGACUUUGGGAUAACUUCAGGAAACUGGGGCUAAUACCGGAUAGGAGCUCCUGCUGCAUGGUGGGGGUUGGAAAGUUUCGGCGGUUGGGGAUGGACUCGCGGCUUAUCAGCUUGUUGGUGGGGUAGUGGCUUACCAAGGCUUUGACGGGUAGCCGGCCUGAGAGGGUGACCGGCCACAUUGGGACUGAGAUACGGCCCAGACUCCUACGGGAGGCAGCAGUGGGGAAUAUUGCACAAUGGGCGGAAGCCUGAUGCAGCAACGCCGCGUGCGGGAUGACGGCCUUCGGGUUGUAAACCGCUUUCGCCUGUGACGAAGCGUGAGUGACGGUAAUGGGUAAAGAAGCACCGGCUAACUACGUGCCAGCAGCCGCGGUGAUACGUAGGGUGCGAGCGUUGUCCGGAUUUAUUGGGCGUAAAGGGCUCGUAGGUGGUUGAUCGCGUCGGAAGUGUAAUCUUGGGGCUUAACCCUGAGCGUGCUUUCGAUACGGGUUGACUUGAGGAAGGUAGGGGAGAAUGGAAUUCCUGGUGGAGCGGUGGAAUGCGCAGAUAUCAGGAGGAACACCAGUGGCGAAGGCGGUUCUCUGGGCCUUUCCUGACGCUGAGGAGCGAAAGCGUGGGGAGCGAACAGGCUUAGAUACCCUGGUAGUCCACGCUGUAAACGGUGGGUACUAGGUGUGGGGUCCGUUCCACGGGUUCCGUGCCGUAGCUAACGCUUUAAGUACCCCGCCUGGGGAGUACGGCCGCAAGGCUAAAACUCAAAGGAAUUGACGGGGCCCCGCACAAGCGGCGGAGCAUGCGGAUUAAUUCGAUGCAACGCGUAGAACCUUACCUGGGUUUGACAUGGAUCGGGAGUGCUCAGAGAUGGGUGUGCCUCUUUUGGGGUCGGUUCACAGGUGGUGCAUGGCUGUCGUCAGCUCGUGUCGUGAGAUGUUGGGUUAAGUCCCGCAACGAGCGCAACCCUUGUUCACUGUUGCCAGCACGUUAUGGUGGGGACUCAGUGGAGACCGCCGGGGUCAACUCGGAGGAAGGUGGGGAUGACGUCAAGUCAUCAUGCCCCUUAUGUCCAGGGCUUCACGCAUGCUACAAUGGCUGGUACAGAGAGUGGCGAGCCUGUGAGGGUGAGCGAAUCUCGGAAAGCCGGUCUCAGUUCGGAUUGGGGUCUGCAACUCGACCUCAUGAAGUCGGAGUCGCUAGUAAUCGCAGAUCAGCAACGCUGCGGUGAAUACGUUCCCGGGGCC